This 253-nucleotide ribosomal RNA is filed under the name uncultured bacterium. RNAcentral describes it as "partial 16S ribosomal RNA". It matches the Rfam family "Bacterial small subunit ribosomal RNA", at positions 524 to 776 of the family's 1533-position model. The record is from RNAcentral.
UACGUAGGGUCCGAGCGUGUCCGGAAUUAUUGGGCGUAAAGGGCUCGUAGGCGGUCUGUCGCGUCGGGAGUGAAAUUUUACAGCUUAACUGUGAACGUGCUUUCGAUACGGGCAGACUAGAGUGCGGUAGGGGAGACUGGAAUUCCUGGUGUAGCGGUGAAAUGCGCAGAUAUCAGGAGGAACACCGAUGGCGAAGGCAGGUCUCUGGGCUGGUAACUGACGCUGAGGAGCGAAAGCAUGGGGAGCGAACAGG